This is a long non-coding RNA of Wyeomyia smithii (pitcher-plant mosquito), 340 nucleotides long. RefSeq lists it as uncharacterized. The record is from RefSeq and is a predicted model, not a curated record. The transcript has 3 exons. NCBI's taxonomy places the organism in Eukaryota, Metazoa, Arthropoda, Insecta, Diptera, Culicidae.
AAAUGACGUGUCGUUUGUGCUGGAAAGUAGAAAAAUUGGCAACGGUUAUCAGCGAGUGCCAUACGGCUUUAGAGUUCGACGAUUUUCCAGACUACAUCCGCAAAUUUGUGCAAGAUUCCCAAGAUGAUCCAAGCGAUAGUACAGCUAUUUUGCAGUAGCUGGAAAAAUACGAUUUCAUAACACUUAUGCGGCAGGAAGGACAAACUGUUUUUGUUAUCAAGCCAGUUGAGGAGCUGCGGUCACACACACGGGACAUUAUUUUCCCCCAAAGAUGCAACAGCGACUGCGUAAACGCCGGUAAUUUUUAUAUCAUGUGCUCAAGUGAAACAGGUCAGCGGAG